AUUGAACGCUGGCGGCGUGCCUAACACAUGCAAGUCGAGCGGUAACAGGUGUAGCAAUACAUGCUGACGAGCGGCGGACGGGUGAGUAACGCUUGGGAAUCUGCCUAUUAGUGGGGGACAACCCGGGGAAACUCGGGCUAAUACCGCAUACGCUCUACGGAGGAAAGCCCGGGGACCGCAAGGCCUGGCGCUAAUAGAUGAGCCCAAGUCGGAUUAGCUAGUUGGUAGGGUAAUGGCCUACCAAGGCGACGAUCCGUAACUGGUCUGAGAGGACGACCAGUCACACCGGAACUGAGACACGGUCCGGACUCCUACGGGAGGCAGCAGUGGGGAAUAUUGGACAAUGGGCGAAAGCCUGACGCAGCGACGCCGCGUGUGGGAUGAAGGUCUUCGGAUUGUAAACCACUGUCGGGAGGGACGAAUGCGCCGCAAGGCGAGUGACGGUACCUCCAAAGGAAGCACCGGCUAACUCUGUGCCAGCAGCCG
RNAcentral lists this ribosomal RNA (486 nucleotides) under uncultured bacterium. RNAcentral's name for it is "bacterial SSU rRNA". It matches the Rfam family "Bacterial small subunit ribosomal RNA", at positions 29 to 517 of the family's 1533-position model. The record is from RNAcentral.